RNAcentral lists this ribosomal RNA (490 nucleotides) under uncultured bacterium. RNAcentral's name for it is "partial 16S ribosomal RNA". It matches the Rfam family "Bacterial small subunit ribosomal RNA", at positions 29 to 507 of the family's 1533-position model. The record is from RNAcentral.
AGUGAACGCUGGCGGUAGGCCUAACACAUGCAAGUCGAACGGCAGCACAGUAAGAGCUUGCUCUUACGGGUGGCGAGUGGCGGACGGGUGAGGAAUACAUCGGAAUCUACUUUUUCGUGGGGGAUAACGUAGGGAAACUUACGCUAAUACCGCAUACGACCUACGGGUGAAAGCAGGGGAUCUUCGGACCUUGCGCGAUUGAAUGAGCCGAUGUCGGAUUAGCUAGUUGGCGGGGUAAAGGCCCACCAAGGCGACGAUCCGUAGCUGGUCUGAGAGGAUGAUCAGCCACACUGGAACUGAGACACGGUCCAGACUCCUACGGGAGGCAGCAGUGGGGAAUAUUGGACAAUGGGCGCAAGCCUGAUCCAGCCAUACCGCGUGGGUGAAGAAGGCCUUCGGGUUGAAGCCCUUCUGUUGGGAAAGAAAAGCAGCAGGUUAAUACCCCGCUGUUCUGACGGUACCCAAAGAAUAAGCACCGGCUAACUUCGUG